Molecule: small RNA, 111 nt
Filed under: Marmota monax (woodchuck)
Lineage: Eukaryota; Metazoa; Chordata; Mammalia; Rodentia; Sciuridae
Source: RNAcentral
GCUGGGUGUGGUGUUGCACACCUGUAAUCCCAGAAACUGACUGGAGAGGCUGAGGCAGGAGGAUUGCCAGUUUGAGGUUAGUCUUGGCAAUUUAGCAAAACCCUGUCUCAA